AUGCCGCUUUCGCCCCGCCCGCGCCGCCGCCGGCGAAUUCGCCCGAUAGACGGACACGCUGACAUCCCUCUCACCCCUUCCUACACCCGCGACCCCUCCGCCGCCGCCGCCGCAAACCCUAGCGCGGGGAGCUUUGGCUUCUCCUCCGCCGGUGCUCCUCCAAGCACCGGCAUCGCGCGCGGCCUUUUCAUGCCGCCACAAACGACCUCGGCGGCGUGUGGGGUCGCGUCGGCGCCCGCCGUGAAGCCACGUGCCCCCCUCUCGAAGCUCCCAAAUGCGGCGCGGGCGAAGAAGGGCAAGGUGUCCGCGAAGAAGAACAAGACGGCGGAUGGCACUCUAGGCGGCCGAAGAAGCUUGUAG
Molecule: ribosomal RNA, 360 nt
Filed under: Triticum aestivum (bread wheat)
Lineage: Eukaryota; Viridiplantae; Streptophyta; Magnoliopsida; Poales; Poaceae
Description: partial small subunit ribosomal RNA
Source: RNAcentral